RNAcentral lists this non-coding RNA (27 nucleotides) under Mus musculus (house mouse). The record is from RNAcentral. Lineage: Eukaryota; Metazoa; Chordata; Mammalia; Rodentia; Muridae.
CUGUAUGAGUCCUGGGUUCUCUACUUC